Pleuronectes platessa (European plaice) is the source of this 575-nucleotide non-coding RNA. NCBI's taxonomy places the organism in Eukaryota, Metazoa, Chordata, Actinopteri, Pleuronectiformes, Pleuronectidae. The record is from the annotation of a RefSeq genome assembly.
CAAUUCUUCUUCUUCUUAUUUAGUGUAAAUCCAAACAGCAACGCUCCUGAGUUUGUGUCCCACGUCACCUUCAGUCCGCUCAGAGCAGAGGAAUCAUUUCCAUAGAGAGGAGGCUUUGCAUCGUCAGCUGAUCCUCCACUGAACUGAGAAGCUUUAUAGUCCUGUGACUCCAACUCUGCAGGACUCAGACCCGUCAGUCGACCACAACCACCAUGACUCUCAUCACCCUCCUCAUCUGGACGCUGGCCUGCUGCAGCUUCACAGGAUGCAGCGGCCAGUUGACUGUGACUCAGCCUCCAGUCAUCACAUUUACUCCAGGAUCCACUGUCACGCUGACCUGUAAAACCAACACUGCUAUUAGCACUAGUUAUAUGUCCUGGUACCAGCAGAAACCUGGACAGGCUCCCAAGCUUCUUAUAUACUAUACAUCAACUCUUAAUACAGGAACUCCCUCUCGAUUCAGUGGCAGUGGCUCUGGUUCUAGCUUCACCUUAACCAUCAGUGGUGUUCAGGCUGAAGAUGUUGGAGAUUAUUACUGUCUUGGUACUGUUGGCAAUGGAAAGUUCACACAGUGA